RNAcentral lists this ribosomal RNA (366 nucleotides) under uncultured Syntrophaceae bacterium. RNAcentral's name for it is "bacterial SSU rRNA". It matches the Rfam family "Bacterial small subunit ribosomal RNA", at positions 1016 to 1382 of the family's 1533-position model. Lineage: Bacteria; Pseudomonadati; Thermodesulfobacteriota; Syntrophia; Syntrophales; Syntrophaceae. The record is from RNAcentral.
CCCUUCGGGGAACCCGGUGACAGGUGCUGCAUGGCUGUCGUCAGCUCGUGUCGUGAGAUGUUGGGUUAAGUCCCGCAACGAGCGCAACCCUUGUCUUUAAUUGCCAUCAUUUAGUUGGGCACUUUAAAGAGACUGCCGGUGUUAAGCCGGAGGAAGGUGGGGAUGACGUCAAGUCCUCAUGGCCUUUAUGCCCAGGGCUACACACGUGCUACAAUGGGCGGUACAAAGAGAAGCAACCUCGCGAGGGUGAGCAAAUCUCAAAAAGCCGUUCUCAGUUCGGAUUGAAGUCUGCAACUCGACUUCAUGAAGUCGGAAUCGCUAGUAAUCGCGGAUCAGCACGCCGCGGUGAAUACGUUCCCGGGCCUU